UACAAAUGAAGUCUCCUUUCUUAUCAUGUAAGUCCCUCCUUCACAUUCCCUGUGUGAAUGUGGUAUUAAGUGCUUUUACCAACUUGAUCACUCUGCUUCAUUACAGAAUUUUUAAAGAUGCCACACUUUCCACUGGGUUGACCAUUCUAGAAUGGUGUGAUCAGAAUGGUCAUCGCCUUGGACUGGACUUUUAACAUGUAUUGGCACCUGCCAAAUAUUUGUGUUAUUAGUCACAUCUGUUUUUAAGAGACAGCGCUCCUGAAAGACAGAUGGAGUCAUAGAUCUGCUUUUCCAACGCUUUCUUAAAGCAUUUCUAGGAAAGUAGUAAUUCCACUUUAUUCGACUUGGUGGAGAAGCUCAUGCCACUUGUUUUGGAGGCAGAGUUGAUUUCUGAGGUUGCCUUUCACAGAGCCGAGAAGGGAUCUUAGAGUUCAUUUUAUUAGUCAUAUUUUACAGGUGACAAAAUGAAGUCUAGAGAGGUUUAACAAUGUUUGCCCGAAGCCACACACUGGUAAGUGACUAAGCCCCAAGCUAAUGCUGGGCCCCAGGUACAGGAGCCCACCUCGCCACUGCUUCCUUGUGUCUGGUUCUGCCUCGGGAACUGGCCUAGGAACAGACUCCCUGCCACCCGCCGCAGCCACAGACGUUUUCACGAUUCUUUUUUGUAUUUUCCAAGUCUUCUACAGUGAUCCAUUACUUUUAUAAUCAGAAAACAAUCAACUGGCACAGACAAGGUGGCUCACACCUGUAAUUCCAGCACUUUGGGAGUCCCAGGUGGGCGGAUUAUUUGAGGUUGGGAGUUUGAGACCAGCCUGGACAACAUGUCAAAAACCCAUCUCUACUAAAAAUACAAAACUUAGCUGGGUGUGGGUGGCGUAUGCCUGUAAUCCCUUCUUCUCGGGAGGCUGAGGCAGGAGAAUCGCUUAACACAGGCAGACGUUGCAGUGAGCUGAGAUUGCACUACUGCACUCCAGCCUGGGCGACAGAGUGAGGCAUCAACUCAAAAAAAAAAACAAAAAAGAAAAGAAAGCAAUCAAUUGGCCAGAUAUGGUGACUCAAGCCUGUAAUGCCAGCGCUUUGGGAGGCUGAGGCAGGAGGAUCACUUGAAGCCAGGAGUUUGAGACCAGGCGGGGCAUAAAAGCGAGACCCUGUCUCUAUUAAAGAAAAAAAAAGUGCUUGCUUUGGCAGCACAUAUGCUAAAAUUGGAAGGAUACACAGAAGAUUAGCAUGGCCCCUGCGCAAGAACGACACGCAAAUUCAUGAAGCGUUCCAUAUUUUUAUCUGCCAGCCAUCACCACCCGAUUUUGAUUGUAUCCUUCCUCCCAUCCUUUAAUCUGUUCACUGCUUUGUCUGGGGGAGCUGGGGUCGUUGGCUCAGACGUUGGCGUUUGUUCUUUGAUGGAUGAACGAACACUCCAGUUUUCUUUCCCGUGGAGGUUGUUUCAGCCACAAACCACUUCAUUUUGCUGUUUCAAUUUCAAAAUAAAAUGAAACAUAUUGAAAAAAAAGAAAGAAAAGAAAUCAAUCAAUCAAACAAACAAACAAAACCCAGUAGUUUUGAAAAACACACCUCACUCAUACCAAGGCCAGCCCCUAAAGUCCCUGGGUCUGUUCUCUGAACCUCUAGGUCAGGGAAACUGCUGUUCCAUAUCUCCUGACUCCUUAAAAUUCAGUGACUCAAAGAUCCCAUUUUGGUCAGAAGUUGAACAACAAUAAAACCUUUUCCUAUCCUGUCGGCCACAUUCACGAACUCCCGGGCUCCCACGCGGUUUAUUUUUAAGACGCUGGUUUAAAUUUCUCGAGUUACGGGGGGAAGGGGUUGCGGUGGGAGCGAGACUGAGAACCACAGCGCGAACAGGGGCGCAUUGGUACCAGGAUCGGUACAGGGAUGUCUCCAGUUCCUAUAGACUCUAGCCUCGGGGGGAGUCUGUCCAGACUACAAGUGUCUGUGCCCCUGUUUUAUUUUGAGACAAGUCGGGGUCGCUCAAUGAGUCAGCACAGAGGAGGCAGUGGGGGAGACAGACAGCGGCUGGGACGCGCGGGACUGGGGCGCGCCUUGCGCGCUGGGCACCGGAGCUGCGCACGGGCGGCCCGGGGCGGGGGCCCCAGAGAGCCCGGGAGGGCGUGGACUCGGCCGGGGAGGGGCGGGCUCGGGCGCGUCUGGGUUGGAGCUGGAUGAUGUAAAACAGCGCGGAGCUCCUUGGCGCCUCGGCACCAUUACCUUCAAUUAUCAUAAUUGGUGCCUCUCUCCAGCGUUUGCAUUUCCCCCGAGGGAUCUCUCACUAGUUCCCGUUCCUUCUCCUCGCCCUCUCUCGCUCACUCGCUCUCGGCUCCCGAUCGCUCUCCCAGCCUCGCCCUCCCCUCAGUAUCGAUCUUUUUGGAUGUUCUCCCUGCCUAAAACGGAUGCUAAUAUCUCUUCGAUUGAACCGAAAUGGCGCUGCGGCUGCUACUUUUCCAUUGUCAAUAGAAACUUAGAGGGACCCGGGGAUCAGCAUUUAUCUUAUACUUAAACUAAUUUCUCUAAGUACUUUUCUACUUGUAGUCCAAAGAACCGGGAAUUAGUAACGAUGUGUGGAACCUGGAGUACAUUUUCCCGAAACUUCCCGAUCUGUCAAUAGGAAGGUUAAUCUUCCUGGACACCCCCGUCUCCCUCCUCCCACUCUCUUCGCUGGAGUCGUGCUGGCUGAUGGGAACGAAAAGAUUUCAGAUCUGAAAAGGCUUUGAUUGUACCUUGAGACAUCACCUUGACAAAAAUAUAAAAACAUAGGCUCUUCUCUCUGCACUGUCUGCGUCUUUCAGGGGCUGGACUUCACCUGUCUCCAGAAAAACUGCGGAUCUUCAGGUAUGACUUGAAGGAUUAGGAAAGAGAGAAGUACCAGUGCCCCUUCCCAUCAUUCCUACAGAUCUUUGUUAACAUUAGGCAGUCACCUAAAAAAAAAAAAAGGCAGGUGGAUUAGAAGCAUUUUGAGGGCAGGAGCCGUUUCAGAAAUCUCUUGAUCACCCCUAAAAAAAAGGACAGCUCAUGAGUACAGUUCAUGGCAAGUGUAUCCAUAAUUAGUCAGGAUUUUCUUGGGAAAUGCUUCCGUUUGAAAGUGAAUAAGCAACAUCAGACUUCUUCGAAAAAUGCCAUUGGAUAGGAGAUGGGUUAUCUCAAGGUGUCACGUUGCAGGGUGGAAGAGUUGUGUUUUCCAGCAGACUAGAGGCACGAGUUAUGGUUCCAUGAGAGCAGCUAAGUUUCUUGCGUAAUGAUAAGUUAGGCGACCAAUUUGUCUCAGCUGAUUCUUGGACUAUCACCAGUCAUGGGAGCAAACGUUUGUUGGCAAGAUUCCGCGUUUUUAGAGAGAUACCACCACCCUGCCCAGGCUGCAGUCUGACUUGGCAGUAACAUUAUUUGCACUUCAAAUCUUCAGCUCCAGGGAGGAGAAAAUCCUGAAACCACCUGGGAAGUCCUGAAGCCAUCAUAAAUACAUUCAGAUAUUACAAAUUUUUUCCUUAGACCGAUUUCUAAGGAAAAUUGGUCACCAUUUCUAUAGAGAUUCACAGUUAACAAAACUUACACGAAGACCUCAAGUUGUACUAGUAGCAAUCUCUGGAGCAGGCAGGCUACCAAACACUCUUGUUCUCAUUUUAUGGGCAAGAAAACUGAGUACCAAGGGGCCAAUUGAUUGGCUCAUAAAAACUCAUUGAGUAUACUGGGCGUGGAGGUUCAUGCCUGUGAUCCCAGCACUUUGGGAGGCUGAGGCAGGCGAAUCACUUGAGGCCAGGAGUUCGAGACCAGCCUGGCCAAAACGGUGAAACCCUGCCUCUAUCAAAAAUACAAAAGUUAUCCAGGCAUGGUGGCAAACAUCUGUAAUCCUAGCCACUCAGGAGGGUGAGGCACGAGAAUUGCUUGAACCUGGGAGGUGGAGGCUGCAGUGAGCUCGCUCCACUGCACUUCAGCCUGGGCAAUGGAGCAAGACUCUAUCUCAAAAAUAAUAAUAAUAAUAAUAAUAAUAAUAAAAUAAACAACCAGCUUGGGCAACAUGGCGAGACCCUGUCUCUACAAAAUAUUUAAAAAUUAGCAGGGUGCGGUGGCAUGCACCUGUAGUCCUAGCUACUGGGGAGUCUGAGGUGAGGGGAUCACUUGAGCCAUGGUGGUGGAGGCUGCAGUGAGCUGAGAUUGUGCCAGUGCACUCCAGCCUGGGUGACAGAGCCAGGCCGUCUCAAAAAACACACAAACAAAACAUUGAGUAAUGGAGUGUGGAUACAAAUGCAGGACUUCAGUUUCUUACUUUAGUGUUACUUUUUCCUUGCUCUGUUACCCAGGCUGGAGUGCAGUGGUGCGAUCUCGGCUUGCUGCAGCCUCCCCAUCUCUGGCUCAAGGGAUUCUCCAGCCUCAGCCUCCUGAGUAGCUGGGAUUACAGGCAUGCACCACCACACCCAGCUAAUUUUUGUAUUUUUAGUAGAGAUGGGGUUUUACCGCGUUGCCUAGGGUGGUCUUGAGCUCCUGGAUUCAAGUGAUCCACCCUCCUUGGCCUCCCAAAGUGCUGGGAUUAUAGGUGUGAACCACCUUGCGAGGCCCAGGGAACUCUUUUUAUAUACUCCUGUCAUUUAAUGAGGAACAACUAAGUGGUAUGGGGUGGAGCCAAGUGGAUGGACCUCCAAGGAAACAAGUGACUACUUUGACCCUUUGGCUGUAAUAUUGAUGGAUUUUGCUCAUGUAUUCCAUACAGACUGGCAAGCAAUGCCAUUGCUCAUAGACAUUGCAUCAUGGGCAUCUUGCCUGCUCUUCCCCCCGCCACUAUAUGUGGAAAAUGCCAGGUUGACUAUUCACUCCAAAUACUCACCUUUCUCAAGAAACUAAUAAAAAGCUCUGCUCGUUGCCAUGGCCCCACUAAGAAGACAAGAUGUUCAAGAUUGUUGUAUAUUAAAAAUAAUCCACGAGUUCAAAAUGGUCCUGGACUCUGGAAAGUCUUGUACUCUGCAAGGUUCUGAGUCUUCAGUCUGUUUAAAAUGGGCUGUCUUCAAAUGGCUACAUUAAGUUAUUUUAGAUGAUAGCAAACACUCAAGUGAUAAAGUCACACAGAAGUAAUAAUUUGAAGGAAUGAUUUUUUUUUUUUUUGAGACAGAGUCUCACUCUGUUGUCCAGGCUGGAGUGCAGUGGCGCAAUCUUGGCUCACAGUAACCUCCGCCUCCUGGAGAUUCUCCUGCUUCAGCCUCCCCAGUAGCUGGGAUUACAGGCAUGUGCCACGAUGCUCGGCUAAUUUUUAUAUUUUUAGUAGAGAUGGGGUUUCACCAUAUUGGCCAGGUUGUUCUCAAACUCCUGACCUCAAGUUAUCCAUCUGCCUCAGCUUCUCAAAGUGCUGGGAUUACAGGCAUGAACCACCGUGCCUGGCUUGGAGGAAUGAUCUUAAUUCCACUCACUAAUCACUUCUCAGCCUUUUGGCUAAGGUCAAAAUUCACUCACUAAUAUAUUUCUUUUCUUUUGAGAUGGUCUCUCUCUGUUGCCCAGGCUGAAGUGUGGUGGUGUGAUCUUAGUUCACUGCAGCCUGGAACGCCUGGGCUCCAGUAAUCCUCCUACUUUAGCCUCCCAAGUAGCUGAGACUACAGGCAUCUGCUACCGGGCUUGCUGGUCUCAAACUCCUGAACUCAUGUGAUCCUCCCACCUCAGCCUCCCAAAGUGCUAGAAUUACAGGUGUGAGCCUCUGAGCCUGGCCUACUUUAUUUUGCUUUAUAGGUGAAUUAACUUUAUAUAAUAUGACAUGCUUUAUGGUGCCAGCCUGCCCAUAUCUCUUUCUGUGUGUUCUUUCUGGCUCACACCCUUGCUGAGAGCAGUACCCAGGUUUUAUAUUAGCCAGAACCCUAUCCAAGCCCAAGAGAUCACAGACUGAGUAUUUGGGGAUGGUGUCUCCGUAAGCUGAACAAAUGACUGUGAUAGUUUGCAGUAGUGAUAGAAGGUGAAACCAUCUCUUGGGUAGUAUCUCUCUGUAUAGGGGACUCAUGCUUGGACAAAAAAAAAAUAAAAGCAGAAAUUAUGAGAGUAAAAACUACAAAUAAGGAGAGGAUGACAGCCCACUGGCAAAGAGGUGAGAAGCAAAGACAACCCUGAGAAAAAGAGGCCCAAGUCUCUGGCUUCUGGCUCCAGGAAGGUUGGCUCCCCGAGCUGAUAAGCGGUGCUUGUCAAUGACCAGUUAGUAGUAACCAUACCAUAAGCCUAUUUUGUCCAUACCACAAACCCCUCCUAAAUUAAUCUUUAGUGUGUCUCUCUUCCUUUUAAUUAAGCAAGUUGACUAACGAUGUACUAUAAAUGUUUUAUUUUUAUUUAUUUAUUUAUUUAUUUGCUAUUAUGUUCUGGCCACUGUCAUUGUUUUUAUUUCAUAAUAAUUCCUGAGAAAAUAACUAACUAUAUAGUAUUUGUUUUAUCAUUUACAAAGUAUCAAGACACACAUUAUAUUUGAUGUGUGAGUUCAAGCCAUGAAAUAAAAUGCCAGCCAAACGUGCAUAUCUUCAAAUAUUUAAUGCAUUUUAACGAGAUUUAUGGACACAGGUUAUGAAGAGAGUACACCCUAAGUGAGGUCAUCAAUGAACAGAAUUCUUGUUCUUAUCCUUGGUAUUAAGGGAAGAACUUCUGAUGCGCUUUUCUCAGAUUGUAUAAUCUUCCUUUGUUCUAUCUGGUCACCUAACAAAUAAGCUCCUAUUCUGCUAUGAAUCCCUUAAACACAAAUAACUCUCUGAUAAGAUAGUCAAGCUCACACCUGUAAUCCCAGCUACUUGGGAGGCUAAGGUGGGAGGGUCACUCGAGGCUAGAAGUUUGGGACCAGCCUGGGCAACAUAAGGAGACUCUGUCUCAACAAAAAGUAUAGAAAUUAGCCCCAUGCAGUGGGGAGCACCUUAGCUACUUGGGAGGCUGGGGCCAGUGGUUCGAGGCUACAGUGAGCUAUGAUUGCAGCGCUGUACUCCAGCCUGAGUAACAGAGGGAGGCCUUCGUCUCUAAAAAAGCAAAAAAAAGCAAGUAACUCUCUACUCUCCCAUUCACAAUUUAGUGCCAUUUAGUUACAUGUUUAGCCUAUAAUUUCAAAGACAUCAUUUAAAAUCUUUAAAACAUCUAUACGGCCAGCAUGGUGGCUCACACCUAUAAUCCCAGCACUUUUGGAGGCUCAGGCAGGAGGAUUGCUUGAGCCCAGGAAUUCUGAGACCAGCCUCAGUAACAUAGGGAGACCACCAUCUCUACAAAAAAAUUAAAAAAUUAGUCGGGCAUGGUGGCUCGCGCCUAUAUAUAUACAUAUAUAUCUCCCAUGGAUAAAUUAUAUCUUGAAUGCUGUUUGAAGGUAAUAAAAAACUAUUCUACUGUUUAACGGUUUCAGUUAGGUCUAGAAUCAGUUUUCUGUUCUUGGGUAUAGAGAGCUUGUUCCUAGGUAUUUUCGGAAUCCCUUUGUAGAUGUAAAAAGAAUUUUGGUCGUUGAUUUCAUUUCUUGCUUUAAACUUCAAAAGGACAGUAGAUUGUACUAUUUUUUUUCCCUCUACUUAUCAACCUACAUGUAGGAAAGUAAUAACUGAAUUAUGUGCAAAGCAUAAGUAAAAUUCUCUAGAGAAGCAAUUUUCCUUAAGAAUGUUAAAUUGAAUUAAAAUUGUUGCCUAUUCUCUCAACUAUUGAUAUGGCCUUAUGAUUGACACAUUAUCCCUAAACUGAUUUUGAUAUUCUACAUUGAUUCAAACACUCUGAUUCAUUUAGUUGAAAAGUCCAUGUCUUCCCCAGAACCAUUAGAUAAAGUGCGGACUUGUUUCUCUUUAAUUUCUGGUCAUUUAGAAAGUUUGCCCAUUAAUAAUAAAAACAAAAUAGUUGAAAUCAUUGUCUAAAAAAUGGAUCCCAAGUUCUUAUUCAGAAUUGGACUUGGAACAAAAAAAUAUAUACAACCUGGAGUGCUCAAAGUCAACAUUAAUUCAAUAAAAUACAAAUAUCUUAGUUUGGUUUCUUUGGGUUGCAAGGAAAAGAACCUUAAGUAAAAAGGGGACUUUAUUAAGGUUACUGAAUUAACCUAAGGACAAGAAGUGACGCUGAGUGCCUGGAAAUCCAUUUGGAUUUAUGUAUUUGCCACUUUGCAUAUCUUCAUUAUUUUUCUUCCUCUGCAGACAGGUGGACUACAGCUGCCCCAAAGCAAAAUUUUUAUGUCUCCCGUGAAAUGACCUCAAGGGACUGAGCAGCAUGUCUGCUCAAAGACACAGAAGAGAGAAUCUAACUGACCUAACCUGGGUCAUGUGACUAGCUAUGGCCAGAGAUUAGGAGAUCAGAGUCUCCUAAUCAGGU
Molecule: long non-coding RNA, 8283 nt
Filed under: Homo sapiens (human)
Lineage: Eukaryota; Metazoa; Chordata; Mammalia; Primates; Hominidae
Source: RNAcentral